Molecule: ribosomal RNA, 722 nt
Filed under: uncultured eukaryote
Lineage: Eukaryota
Description: SSU rRNA
Rfam family: Eukaryotic small subunit ribosomal RNA
Source: RNAcentral
CUCAUAGCGUAUAUUAAGUUGUUGCAGUUAAAACGCUCGUAGUCGGAUUUCGGGGCGGGCUGCUCGGUCUGCCGAUGGGUAUGCACUGGGUGGCGCGUCCUUCCUUCCGGAGACCGCGCCUUCUCUUAACUGAGCGGGCGCGGGAGACGGAACGUUUACUUUGAAAAAAUCAGAGUGUUUCAAGCAGGCAUCUCGCUCUUGCAUGGAUUAGCAUGGGAUAAUGAAAUAGGACUUUGGUGCUAUUUUGUUGGUUUCGAACACCGAAGUAAUGAUUAACAGGGACAGUCAGGGGCACUCGUAUUCCGUCGAGAGAGGUGAAAUUCUCAGACCAACGGAAGACGAACCACUGCGAAAGCAUUUGCCAGGGAUGUUUUCACUGAUCAAGAACGAAAGUUAGGGGAUCGAAGACGAUCAGAUACCGUCGUAGUCUUAACCAUAAACCAUGCCGACUAGGGAUUCGAGGGUGUUCCAUCUGUGACCCCUUGAGCACCUUUCGGGAAACUAAAGUCUUUGGGUUCCGGGGGGAGUAUGGUCGCAAGGCUGAAACUUAAAGGAAUUGACGGAAGGGCACCACCAGGAGUGGAGCCUGCGGCUUAAUUUGACUCAACACGGGGAAACUUACCAGGUCCAGACAUUGUGAGGAUUGACAGAUUGAGAGCUCUUUCUUGAUUCAAUGGGUGGUGGUGCAUGGCCGUUCUUAGUUGGUGGAGUGAUUUGUCUGG